GGGGGCGCGUGGAUUCGACAGGGGAGGUAUACUGCGGAAUUGCAAGCUGAGGUGCCACUAUCUCACUAAACAGGUGGCAAAACAACAACUGCCAAUGAAGCAGAAUUAGUCGCUGCCUAAUUAAUUAGGUAACGCAUCCAACCUGGCCUCACCUCGACGGGCCGGGAUUGGGUGACGAUUAGCCGAGGUGCCGCCGCCCGGACGUCGAUAAGGGUGGUGAAAGAAAACAUCGACUUGCCUGGCUAAACCCGGUCGGCAGGGGUUAGCCGGGCAAGAUAAAAUGGCUGACUAAGCUUGUAGCAGAUUCCGGGUAGCUUCUCUUGGACGGGGGGUUCGACUCCCCCCCGCCUCCACCA
Molecule: transfer-messenger RNA, 356 nt
Filed under: Dehalococcoidales
Lineage: Bacteria; Bacillati; Chloroflexota; Dehalococcoidia
Also listed under: 1 other name
Description: JACPPR01 sp016190895 X1 Standard tmRNA
Rfam family: transfer-messenger RNA
About the family: Bacterial tmRNA, also known as 10Sa RNA or SsrA, is named for its dual tRNA and mRNA-like properties. Its role is to liberate the mRNA from a stalled ribosome.
Source: RNAcentral